UACGUAGGGGGCGAGCGUUGUCCGGAAUCACUGGGCGUAAAGGGCGCGUAGGCGGCUCUCUAAGUCCGCGGUGAAAGACCGAGGCUCAACCUCGGGAGGUCCGCGGAGACUGGGGGGCUUUGGAGUCUCGGAGGGGAGCGGGGAAUCCCUGGUGUAGCGGUGGAAUGCGUAGAGAUCAGGGGGAACACCGGCGGCGAAGGCGCCGCUCUGGCCGAGGACUGACGCUGAGUGCACGAAAGCGUGGGGAGCAAACAGG
RNAcentral lists this ribosomal RNA (256 nucleotides) under uncultured bacterium. Its description in RNAcentral is "partial 16S ribosomal RNA". It matches the Rfam family "Bacterial small subunit ribosomal RNA", at positions 524 to 776 of the family's 1533-position model. The record is from RNAcentral.